GUUAGAAACCCUGGACCCGGGAGGCGGCGGGAAGGGCCGAGGGGACCCGGGGCCACCCGGUGCGCAGAGGCAGAGGGGCCCCCAAAACCCGCAACGCGGGCCCCUCAGUCUGCGGGCCAAGCCCGGGGUUUCCCUCCAUUAAGAAGUCAGUUGGGCGUUUCUGCUGGCGUGGAGAGCGCUACCAGGUGCCCCCGGAUUUUGAUCGGGAGUCGCUUUUGCCUUUCCGUGGACAAGCCUUCCUCCGCCAGCAGAUGCCCCGGGCAGGAAGAGAAGCGGUGGGUGAGUGGAAAGGGCCUUGGUAUGGAAACGCAGAGACCGAAUUCCUUCUCAUCUGCCAGCUCCGUGGCCGUGGGCACAUUAUCUGUUUUCUUAGUCCGGCUCAUCGUUUCUUUCAAAAACCAUUUUGGACCCUUCUGGGAAGGCAAAGAAGAGAAGCAGAGUGGACUGUGAGCGGACAUAAACCACCCUGAUGGGUAUGAUUUCCAUUUUUGGCACGGGAGUCCGGAGAUUUUGUGACCCUCUCCAAGGACACACAGCAAUCCCUUGAGAGCCCCAAGACCAGAGUCCAGUUGCCAUGACAUUGCUGCCCUAUAACCACACUCUGGAGGAAGAUACCUCAUGAAGACAAAAGCACCUAAGGCCUGAGAAAGUGAGAAUGUGGCCCUGACUCACUGCCAUUGGUUUCCCCUUCCCCCAGUGGGGUUGGGGGGUACCCCCCCACUGCAUUAUGUUAUUCUUAAGUCUCUGCACCCCCAGCCCUGUUCUCAUCACUUAUGACUGCUUUCUGAACAAGAAAAGAAGUGCAGAAAUAAAUGAAUGGCCUUGCGCAAGGCUCUUGACUCUCUGAGUCUCCAUUUCUUCAUCCCGACAACAAAGUUCCAGCUUCACGGGGCUGCUGCGGGGAUCAAGUAGUGAGUGGGAAACUUUUAGAACUGUCAAGCGUGCAGCCGUUCCUGAGGUCGUGCAGAAUGUGGGUGGGAAGGGGAGGGCAGAGGUUGUUGAAGGUGGCUCCAGGUGGCUUUGAUACCUUUCUUCUGGUAAUAAAAUUACCCUUUUUAUACACACAGAGCACUGGCAGGACAGACACCAGAGUCUCACAGGGGCUGGCCCUCAGCAUUGGUUCUCUGUGGAGUGAGCAACUAAACUAGAAUAAAGCACAAGGGCCCUUGGCCCCAGAAGAACAGGCUUCUUUCAUUUUAGGACAUUAGGCUCUUUUAGCUUCUUUUCCUUUCUUUUCUUUCUUUCUUUUUCUUUUUUUUUUUUUUUUAAACCAUACUACUUAGAAGUGCGUGAAGCCCAGGUCUCUGUCUCACUUUCCCUUUGUGUUCCCGGGCCUGGCACAGAUGAGGGACAUAAUGAAUUAAGGAAUCUCCCAUCUCAGGGCCUGCGUGGCACCCAUCAGCAUCAGGGCCUCUGACCCCAGUGGGUGAGAGGAAGUGCAACCCCCCCCCGCCCCCCUGAGCGCAGGGCCUGCCGCGAAGAGAGCAGAGCUGUGAAAGGAGACUCAGUUUACCCAAGGUGGAGUCUCAAGCACGUCAACAUGGGGGCUGAGGAAGAGACGGGACAUCUCCGCGGCGACAGAGCCCAGAGGCACUUAAGAAAUCUUAGUUCUUGUCCCCUCCUCAUAAGCACUUCGGGGACAGGUUUCCUGUGUUCCAAGUAAUUUAAUUCCCAUGGCUCCCGAAAGGCUGGAGCGGUUUCCUUUUCAGAGGCUGUGGGUGCCUCUGAGAAGGAAAGUCACAGGCAGUAUCGGUCUUGCCCAUGUUUUUCAGUGCUGUGUGUCCAGCGUCUGAAAGCAUGCGGGCACACAGUAGGUGGUGACAAGCGGACGAACUGCCAUCGGCGACAGCUGGGUAACUCGCCAGUGCAGGGAACAAAACCCGCCUCCAGAUAAGAAGACCCUGCAGGCCUCCCGCACCCUGUAAUUUGGAUCUCCAGGAAUCGCCUUUGUUGUGGGCGCCCAACCUCAGGCAAAGCGAGCACCUGCUCCUCCCGCCGGUCCUCGCAGGAGGACCCCAGGCUGCUGCGCCCCGGCUGCCUCUCCGGGUCCCUGCGCUCCGCUUCUCCGGAGCUGGGGGACCGGGGGCGCCCCGGGACCCGCAGCCAGGGUCCGCCCAGCGCUUCCGAGCCGUGGUAACGCGCCUCCCCAGGUGCCCGACACCCCGCCCGGGGCCAGCAUUUUUCGCUUCCUAGGGCCGGGCCGGGGGUCUGGGGCUGCGUCAAGGGCCUCGUCAGGCACCCCCAGGCCUGCGGGGGCAGGAUCCUGAGUCACCGCCGCGCACGCCCUCUCCUCCCGGCUUCCAUCCUGGGGCCACCUCCAGCCCGCAGGGUCGGGCCCCGGCGCAGCCGGCUCUCUGCGGGUCUGCUGUGCGCCCCUCUCCCCAGCCCGAGUCACUGCGGCCGCCGCCCCCACCCCUGGCUGGCUCGGGGGAGCCUCGCUUGUCCGCCCCUCCCAUGAGAAGCCCGAGCUCUCAGCGCUCCCGGGCGGCUCCCGCGGGAGGGGGCGCGGCCGCCCCCACGGCUCCACCCUCUCGGCGGGGCCGCAGCCAUCUGGGGCCCCUGCCAGUAGCGGCCGCUCCGGGGCCCGCACGGAGCUCGCGACCCGCUUGCGCGGCGGGAGGCAGCCCCGGGCAGGGACCCCGGCCUCCUCAGCGGGCGCUCCCGGCGCUGAGAUGCCCCGAGGGGGCGGUGGCCGCGAGCCGAGCCCGGGUGGAAGCGCGUCGCAGCGGACGCGGGCGCCCCUCGCCACCUCAGUGACCCUUUGGGAGCCGGGACCGGAGCCCCGCAGGCGGCGGUGCGGGCCCGCGGGGGCGGCGAGGUCCGUGCCCCUAGCGUCCGGAGCGGGCGCAGGCUGCUGAGCCUCGGCUGGGCUCGUUGCCUCCCGCCUUUCCCCCCAGCCCCCCGCGAGCUGGCAGGAGGAAAUAGCGCGCGGCCCCUUUAAAUUUACCCAGGAGCCCUUAAAGGAGCCCCAGGGGCCCCAGACAGGAAUCCCCACCCCGGUCCAGCCCGCGCCGCCGAGCGAGCAGCCUGCCGUCCGUGCGGCCGGCCGCCCCGUGCAUGCGCCCCGCGCCCCGGGGCCCCGCGCAGCGAGCGCUCCGCGCGGGCUGCCGCCGGCCCCGCGGCCCCGCGCCCCGCCGCCCCGGGGCCCCGCUCCGCAGCGCAGCGCAUGGAGCCCGGCGGGGACCACCGGAGCCGGAGCAGCGGCGGCAGGGGCGGCCCCGGGCCAGCAGUGGCCUCGGCACGGGGCCGACGGCUGCCGCCCGCCGGAUCGAGCGGCAGCGCGGAGCCAGAGGAAGACGAAGGCGGAAAGUGCAUCGCUUGCGCCCCGGGGGCCCACACCAUCUUUUCCCACCGCGGGCAGUUUUUAAAGCGAUGGGUUCGCCCACAAAGGCAGGCACCCCUCCGGCCGGUGCAUUCUCCCUUCCCUUCUUUUCAGAAUUUUUUUUUGCCCUAAUUUGUCAGCUCUAGCGGAACCAACCAGUCCUCCUCGUUCGCUCUCAAAGGAGACUGUUGACUCAUUUCCCGGCUGCAGGGUCACGCCUUAAGACCCUUGAGGGUUUCCUCCAGGCCAGGGAGACUCUGCCCGAAUCUCCAGGCUCCCCUCCCGGUCUCUCCCCUCCCAGAAACGCCCCAUCCCCUUUUGUUUUUAAAGAACCUCGGCUCCUCCCCCUUUUUCGGCUCUUAAAGGGCCAAUCCACCUUAGACUAGCCUGGAUCCAGCGCUGGAAGGAUGCUUAGAGACCAGCCAGCUAGCCAGUGUCGUUGCAGACAAAGAAGCUCAGGCCCAGAGUGCGGACAUGACCUAUCAAAGGUCACAGAGCAAGUUACCAGUGAAGCCAGGACUUGAACCCAGGCCUAUGACUCCGAAGCCAGUGGAUUCUAUGGAUCUACUUAAAUAAAAACUAAAACAAAAAAACUUCCACAAGGGUGACAGGAGCCCUUUCUGAUCCUGUCUUUUGUUUUCCCAACCCUGUGAUUCUCCACUGGGAGAAUGACCAGAACCUGCCUGUGUGCCCAGGAGACCAUUUUUCUAAAUCAAGAGGGGUGGGAACUGUAGGGAGGGUAGGGGACUGCUCUGGGUGGGUGUCUGGCACAGGGAACACCAUUGGGUUAGUGGGGCCUCUCCAGUGCCCGCCCUUCUGACUGCUGGGCAGUGGCCGGCUCCCUGCCAGAGCAGCAAAUAAAGCCCCAGAAAGACUUAAUGGGCUUCAGUGGAUGGUGGCCACUCCCUGCCGCAGUGUCAUUAGUUGUCACUCUGGUGGCCCUCCUGCCAUCCCUUUACAGGGUCAUUGGCUCCUCCAGAAUCUGGAGAAGUUUCAGUCUCAGAAACUCCUUUCCCUGGAGAUGUUGGCAGCUUUGUCUUGGGGAUCCCUCCCAUGUGGGGGCCUAGAUUUGGGGAACUGACAAUGCCUAGCCCAUCCCCAAAAUGGGAGUCUCAGGAAGCUAUAUUUGAAGCAUUACUGGAAAAAGGGAGAAGACCUGUGGGUGGGGCCCUCCUGGCGGGGGCCCCAGGUGGGUGGGUCCCGUGUGCAGCCCUGGCUGUAGACAGAUGCCCCCUUUGUUUGUCUGGCCCCACUGCCUGCUCUGCUCCAGCUGGAACCGCCCUGGCCUGCUGCUCUCCUGGCUUUCUCCCUACGGCUCUUGUCCAGAAAGGGCACCUUACAGAGCUGGUUGGCUCCUUGGCCCUCACCUUAUUUUUUAAAAAGUCAGAGCUAUUUCCACAGUGCCCUGCGUCCUUUUGUUCUUGAUCUCCUCUUAAAGGGUCCUUGCCCUUUGUAAAGGGCUAAUGUUUUGGCUCCCACUUCUACCAUCCCUUUUAUUGCUGUUGCCGUCCCUUUCCUGCCCCGGAACACCCCCUCCCCCAGCUCCCUUUCUCAGGGCUCACCAUCAAAGCCCUCGCCUCUUUCCCUGGAAAUCAGAGAUUGAAAAACUGUCUCCCUUUCCCCUUCUUCAGGGCAAGAUCUUCAGCUGGAAGGGGGUGCCUUGGGGUCCUGGGGGAGUGCCCCCCUGCCCUCCUCCAGGGCCAGGGGACCAGCAUCUUCAGGCAGGAAAUAUUCAGACCACUGUGAGGCCCGGGCCUCGAGGCCUGGAAAGAGCCGCAUCCCUGGCCGUGACCACCGGCGCUACUACCACGACCACUGGCGGCUGGAGUACCUGAUGGACUUCAACCCUGCCCGGCACGGCAUGGUGUGCAUGGUGUGCGGCAGCUCCCUGGCCACCCUCAAGCUCAGCACCAUCAAGCGCCACAUCCGCCAAAAGCACCCCUACUCCUUGCAUUGGAGUCCCCGGGAGAAGGAAGUCAUCAGCAACAGCUGGGAUGCACACCUGGGGCUGGGGGCCUGCGGAGAGGCCGAGGGCCUGGGGGUCCAGGGGGCUGAGGAGGAGGAGGAGGAGGAAGAAGAGGAGGAGGAGGAGGGGGCCGGUGUCCCAGCUUGCCCGCCCAAGGGCCCAGGCGACGUUCCGCUGUCCCCUGGAGCUCCCUUGGAGCGGCCCGCCGAAGAAGAGGAGGACGAAGAGGACGGCCAGGAGCCUGGGGGACUCGCCUUGCCGCCGCCGCCUCCUCCCCCGCCUCCGCCCCCGCCCCGCAGCCGGGAGCAGCGGCGGAACUACCAGCCGCGGUGGCGGGGCGAGUACCUGAUGGACUACGACGGCAGCCGGCGCGGCCUGGUGUGUAUGGUGUGCGGGGGCGCGCUGGCCACGCUCAAGGUGAGCACCAUCAAGCGCCACAUCCUGCAGGUGCACCCCUUCUCCAUGGACUUCACGCCUGAGGAGCGCCAGACUAUCCUGGAGGCCUACGAGGAGGCGGCGCUGCGCUGCUACGGCCACGAGGGCUUCGGGCCGCCCGCCCCGGCGCCGCGUGACGGCGGCGCGGACCUCAAGUCUGGCGCUGUGUGUCGGGCGUAGCGGCCUAGCGGGCCCCCGGGUCAGGUCGGGUCGGGUCGGAUCGGCCCCGCCCCGCCCUGUGCUCGCCCGGCCCUUCGGCUGGGAGACCCUCGCGUCCGGUGUUAGCGCUUCCCGCGGCCGCGCCCCCCGCUGGCCGGGCCGGGCGGAGACGGGGGAUCGGGUGGGGCCACCGGCGUCUGCGCGGUGCCACUUGGGUCCCUGAGCCAGUCGGUGCGCUGCGGGAAGCGCACUCUCCCAUCGGCCCGGAGCCCUGCCCUCCCCGCGCAGGGCCCACGUUUUCCGAGAAUCCUCAGUGGCCUCCACGUGUUAGCGCCGAGCGCUCCCGGCCGCACCCCGCGAGGGGGUUCUCCGCAGGCCGGGACUGGGGGCGCCGUCAGUCAGUAUUAGGGCCGAAGGGGGGCCGUGCGGGCUCUGGCUCUGGCCCUGGCUGGGGGCCCAGUUCCCUGCAGCCUUGCACGCUGGCAGGCACGGCUCCCGGCUUGGGGGCUGCUGGCUGCCCUUCCCUAAUUGGGAUUCUCGGCCUCUCGGAGGCCCCGGCUGCGGACUGGGGCUUCCAGCGGGAGGCUGGGCCGCAGGGCUCGGGAGCCUUCCCGGGGUGGGAAGGCGCGUUGGACCGAGGGCGGGGCUACGCGCCCGGGGCCCGGGCUGGACCAGCUGCGCUUACCUCCCCGGCAGGCUCAGUGAGAACCGUGCGCCCGGCGGCCCCACUCUCCUCCCAGGCCGCUGCCACGCCCUCCAGGAAAGCUCUUGUAAAGGGAUUAGCACUUUUUUCCUUUGCUCCUCUUGCCCCGAGGGUCUCUGCUUACCCCUAAACCAAGUCCGUGGGAGCCCGGGGCACAGGCGGUCCCGGCAGUCAGCCUUCGAUUCCCGCCCCAUCCCCAUCCCCCUUUGUCCGCGGUGGAUGCGGCGUCCGUUCUCAACCCGCAGGGCCUGGGGCCGGGCCUCGGCCUCUUUUCCCCGUGGCAGCCGCAGGCCCUGUGUGGCAGGGAUGGGGCCCCGCGAUCUCCCAGGCAGGUCCGAGAGGGAUGUGUAGAUUCAUUCUCCUGUGGAGAACAGGUGGCCCCGAGAUCAGGCCCUUUUUUGCUCUUUGUAUUUUAUUUUGAAACUGUAUUUAAUGCUUUUAUAUGAAAGGGGGAGGGGCGGGGACAGAGCUGACCCAGUCACCCUUAUGUGCAAAUGUCUUAUUUAUUAUGCGUGUAUCAGAGAUAAGCUGUGAGGUGGUGGAGGGAGGACCUGAAGGAAGGAGGAGCGAGGGCAGAGGCGGGGACGGGAGGACCCCAACUAGCUGUGCUGAUGUUAAUCCCGCUGGGAGACUCCGGGCCCUACUGUCUGCUCUUCACAAAGCCAGGCUGCUGCAGGAACAGUUCCCGCGGUCCUAAAGCCGGGGCGGGGAGGCUAGUGGGUGGAACUUGAGGGUUGGGUCUGGAGGAAGAGAUGCCUGGGCAGCGUGGUCCAGCCCCUGCCUCGGGGUGGAAAGGCAGAGAGCAAAGAGGAGGCCCCUCUUAUUCCGGACCCCCAGGCCAGAGCCCAGGAGUGGGAAAGCAGAGGGCAAAGAGGAGGCCCCUCCUCUCAUCCCUGACCCCCAGGCCAGAGCCUAAGGUUCAAGUGCCUCAGGCCCAGUCCCCUUGACGCUUCCUGUUUGGGAGUUGGAUUUUAUACCACGGAUUUUAUAGCAUUUUUAUAUAAUUGAGGAUUGUCAGAAUUGGAAAGGGCCCUGGAGAUCACUAGUACUACCCUCCUCACCUUCACAGAUAGGUAAAUUGGAGCCCAGGAACCGAGAUGAUCACACAGCCAGGUAGGGACAGUACAAGAACUAGAAUGAAAAUCCUAGCUCCUGACUCAGUGUUCUUUGCACGAUGCCACACUGCUUCCCAAUUCGCUGGUCAGUUAUUAAAAUUUGUCAGGCCUGCCGAAGGAUUGACAUGCUGGGCAAUGCAGGCCACCACGGUGGAUCUGUGACUCCUGAAGGUGGCAAAGCCCUGCACACUGCCUUGGGAUGAGCACACUGAGCUCUGCAGGGCCUCAGCUGGAAGGCGCCAUCCAAUCGUCCUUCCCCUCCCCAGCAGAACUCCAGAGGUGGGGCGGCUGCCGCAGGGCCCAAGGCUGCCUCGGCAGGGGGCUUUGUGCUUUUUGUUGUGGAGGCCACCAGGGAUUCAGGAAGAUCCUGAAUGGGUUGUCAAUUGACUGAAAAGUAAAUUCCCAGUGAGUUUGAACCUCCACGGUUUUUGAGACAGUAUUAAAAGCUUGAGAACGGAGAUUAUGGAUGGCACCAGGCUGGGCACUGCCAUUCUUUUACUUUCCUUCAUGCAUUUUUUCGGAUCCAGAGUAUUAACACCACUUUUUUUACUCUGCCCAUUCAAAAACAGUAGGCAAAUUGGGGGAACCAAUUUAUAAUCACUCAAGCCCACUGCCAAAGUUCGGAUAAGCCAGGGCAGAGGGGUUAGAUUCCCCCCCCUCCGUAGGCAGAGAGAGGCCUCAGGAGAGUGGACAUCUUUACUGAGACAGCCCCAAACACACCAGUGGCUCUCAAAGUGUGUCCCUGAGACCAGCAGCAUCACCUUAGGAAUCUGCUAGAAAUAAAAAUUCUUGGGCCAUACCCCAGGGUUACUGAAUCAGAAACUUGGUUGGGGCCUAGCAGUGUUUUCAUGAGCCCUCCAUUGAUCUUGAUGCAGCUGAAGUGCCGGGCACCAGUGAAAGGGAAGGGCUGCGGUAGUGAUUCCAUUGAUUCCUGCUUUGAUGGAAGUUAUGGCCUCACAGGUUAGACGUUGCAAGUUGAGUUGGCCCUCUUGCCUAGGUGUGCCUCCUUGCCUUGGGAUUCUGACAUGAACAGGUGAAGUCUCUUCAUGAUUUUUUUUGUUGUUGUUGUUAAUGGUAUGCUUGCUAUUAUGGCCAAUAUGUAAAUGUUACUCUGAAUACAUAUUUAUAUACCAUGUUACUUAGUGACAUUAUUCAAACAUUUGUAUGCGUAUUUGUGAAAUUGUUUGCAUCAGUCAUUUAAAAAAUAUUUCAGCCUAAGUUUUCUAAGAGGUAUGUUGAAUACAUUUUUAAAAGCCAGCUUAAGGGUCACAGCAGCCUUAGUUUAGGAGAAGAGCUAAUCACAGGUGACCACUCAAGUUCUUUCAAUGAAGACCUGAUGAUGUAUUUAGUUCCCAUUUUCCACGGUGAUUGACUCAAUUUAAGUGUAUUGUGGCUAUAUGUAAUUUACAGGCUGCUUUGCGUUGCAGGUGGGAAAAUCUCCCAGGCUGGUGUGAGGCUGAACUGGGGUAAAAGACCCCCUGACCCCUCCUCAUUCUUCUAAGGUCACCACCUCUUAGAGGGUCUCUUAUUUUCUUUCAGAGAUCAAAUGCACAGUUAUGCUGUACAACUAAAUUCUGCAGUCUUGGGAAUCCUUACGAGUACCAACUAUUAGUCACUUUUUAAAGUCCCCAAAGUGGAGUGAGGAUAGGGGGAGUGGAAGCAGUGUUUGGUUCUUACUUUACCCAAACUGUGUAUAAAGAAUAAAGUUAGCAGAAUGAUGCCACAGUCA
Molecule: long non-coding RNA, 9429 nt
Filed under: Homo sapiens (human)
Lineage: Eukaryota; Metazoa; Chordata; Mammalia; Primates; Hominidae
Description: non-protein coding lnc-C11orf95-1:1
Source: RNAcentral